RNAcentral lists this ribosomal RNA (253 nucleotides) under uncultured bacterium. Its description in RNAcentral is "partial 16S ribosomal RNA". It matches the Rfam family "Bacterial small subunit ribosomal RNA", at positions 524 to 776 of the family's 1533-position model. The record is from RNAcentral.
UACAGAGGGUGCGAGCGUUAAUCGGAAUUACUGGGCGUAAAGCGCGCGUAGGCGGCUUUGCAAGUCGGGUGUGAAAUCCCCAGGCUUAACCUGGGAACUGCAUUCGAGACUGCAUUGCUAGAGUAUGGGAGAGGGAAGUGGAAUUUCCGGUGUAGCGGUGAAAUGCGCAGAUAUCGGGAGGAACACCAGUAGCGAAGGCGGCACUCUGGGCCGGUACUGACGCUGAGGAGCGAAAGCGUGGGGAGCGAACAGG